AGAGAUUCAGCAGGCGAGCCCCGCCGGCAUUCCCACUCCCACCAGGCUGAGGCAACACCACGCCGCGCCGCCCCCCAAUUUGUUGCGGCCUGCCGUGCCGCCUCCCGCUUCCGCUCUCCGAUUCGAUUCCCCCCCAACCUCAAUCCGUCCGCCCCGCCGCCCGGCCUCCAAGGCUCCAAUUACUUCCCCACCAGCGAGCGACUCCUUUCAAUUCGCCGCGCCCCCAUCCCCAUCCCCACCCGCCCGCCCGUCCACCUGCCCUGGCCGGCGCGCGGCGCGCGCCCGCCCCCAAACCCUAGCCCGCCCGCGACGGAGGCGGCGAUGUCGGCGCCCUCGUCCCCCCCGGGGCGGGGGGCGGGGGAGUCCGGCGGCGGGCUCCCCGUGCCGGUGCCGGCCGCAGUGGUCGGGGACGACAAGGUCCUGGCGGCGGCGCAGCACAUCGUCAAGUCGCUCGCCACGUCCAAGAACGCCGCCGACGACAUGAUCCGCAUCCUCUCGGGCUUCGACCACCGCCUCUCCUCCAUCACCUCCGACCUCUUCCCGUCCCCGGCCCCGGCCCCCGCCGACGACUCCGACCCGAAGGCCGCGGCCGACCGGGAAGCCCCCGACGCCGCCGCCGCCUCGCUCGCGGCCUUCGACGCCGCCGAGCAGCUCAUCCACCUCUGGGACACCACCCCGGAGGCGCUCGUCUUCGAGGCCCCCGAGGACGACGCAGCGCACUACCUCGCCGCCGUCGACGUCGCCGUCGACCACCUCGCCGCCUCCUCCCCCGCCGUCUCCGGCCGCGCGGGGGUCGCGGUGCAGCUCGCCAUGGCGCGCCUCGAGGACGAGCUCCGCCACCUCAUGCUCCGCCACGCCGUGCCGCUCGACGCCAGCGGCCUCUUCUGCUCCCUCCGCCGCCUCUCGCUCGGGUCCAUGGACGACCUCGACACCUCCUCCGAGUUCGACCCCGCCACCCCGCACAGCCAGGACGGCGGCGGCGGCGGCGCCGGCCCGGACACCGCCCGCAGCGCCGGCGUCGCGGGGAACAACCCCUUCGACGACCACGUCUUCGACCUCGUGCGCCCGGACGCUGUGGACGAGCUGCGCGCCAUCGCAGACCGGAUGGUGCGCGCCGGGUACGCCAGCGAGCUCGCGCAGGUGUACUGCGCCGUCCGCCGCGACCUGCUUGACGGGUGCCUCAAUGUGCUCGGCGUCGAGCGGCUCAGCAUCGACGAGGUGCAGCACGUCGAGUGGAAGCAGCUGAACGACAAGAUGAAGAAGUGGGUCCAUGGUGUCAAGACGGUUGUCCGCUCCCUGCUGACCGGCGAGCGCCGGCUCUGCGACCAGGUGCUUGCUGCGUCCGAUGACCUCCGGGAUGAGUGCUUUGUUGAGUCCACCAAGGGUUGCAUUAUGCAGAUCCGCAACUUUGGGGAUGCGGUGGCUGUGUGCACUCGCUCGCCGGAGAAGCUUUCCCGCAUUCUUGACAUGUACGAGGCGCUUGCUGAGGUGAUCCCUGAACUGAAGGGGCUCUUCUUUGGUAGUUAUGGUGAUGAUGUCAUCCAUGAUUUGGAGGGGGUUCUUGAAAGGCUUGGUGAUGCGGUGAAGGGUACCCUUCUUGAGUUUGGGAAGGUCCUACAGCAGGAGUCAUCGCGCCGGCCAAUGAUGGCUGGUGAGAUCCACCCAAUGACGCGUUAUGUGAUGAACUAUCUUAGGUUGUUGGUCGUUUACAGUGAUUCACUUGACACACUUUUGGAUGACAGUGGUGCUGGAGAUGUAGAUCAUAAUGCUUUACAUAACGGCACCGAUGAGGAUGAAGAGUAUCUGAAGAGCUUGACCCCACUUGGACGCCGUAUGGUCAAGCUGAUAUCUUACUUGGAGGCAAAUCUGGAUGAGAAAUCCAAACUUUACGAGGAUGCUGCAUUGCAGUGCAUAUUUUCCAUGAAUAAUACACUCUAUAUUGUCCAAAAGGUGAAGGAUUCCGAGCUUGGGAGGAUUUUGGGUGAUCAUUGGAUCCGGAGGCGCCGUGGCAAGAUUCGGCAAAAUUCAAAGAGCUACCUCAGGGUUUCAUGGACCAGAGUGUUAUCUUAUUUGAGGGAUGAUGGUCAUGGCAGCAGCGGGAGUGGAAGUUUUGGCAGCAGUGGGAGUUCAAGCUCUAGGAUCAAAGAAAAAAUUAAGAACUUCAACUUGGCCUUUGAUGAGAUAUACCGGAGUCAAACACUGUGGAAAGUACCAGACCCUCAGCUCCGGGAGGAACUCAAGAUAUCUAUAUCUGAAAAUGUGAUUCCAGCUUAUCGUGCUUUUACGGGAAGAUACGGCAGUCUAGUGGAUAGUGGAAGGAAUUCAGGAAAAUACAUAAAGUACACCCCUGAGGACUUGGAAAAUCAUCUGUCUGAUCUAUUUGAAGGGUCACCAGGGGCUGCCAACCAUUCCAGGAGAAGAUGAGAAUUUCUUAUAAUGGUAUUUGGCUACAGUGUUAAAACUUAAAAGUAAUAACAAGCAUUCGGUGGGAUACCUACAUGCUUUUGUUUAUUAUGAUAAAGCCUAAAGGCUAUUUCUAUCCAGGAGCAGUGAUCUUAAGUCUCUUGAUGCCAUACCGCAACCUCCUUUUAUGAGGUGUUCAUGCAUUUCAAUAUUCAAACUUUGUAAUUUUUAUCAACAAUAUUCCAACAGUUUACAAAGAAAAAACAUGGUACCAUUAUUCAUAUUUGAAGUUUUCUAUUAGGGCCAUAGCUUUAUGGCAUAAAAUGAGCGUUCCGAAUUCAAUUUGUUUGUGAAAUCGUGCCCUCAGAAGAUUAUUAAAGACGGUAAUGUUUUUGAAAAAGAAAUUCAUAACCUGCAUGGAUGGCUGGCUAUCACCCUACAACCUUCAGAUAGUAUUUUCCCAGUAUUUCUGGUGCCAUGAUCUUGCAAACUUGAGAGCUUUGGAAAGUAGGACCGCAUGGAAAUCAGCAAUCUAAGUGCCCAAACCAUGACUUAGGCUAUCAGUGUCUUAUUAUUGCUGCUACUACUAUUUAUAUGACUAAUACAUCUUUCGUUUUUCCCUGUUAUAGUGCUAUUUGUUUGUUUUCGGUGCCUCUUAUUG
Molecule: RNA transcript, 3064 nt
Organism: Panicum virgatum (switchgrass)
Lineage: Eukaryota; Viridiplantae; Streptophyta; Magnoliopsida; Poales; Poaceae
Gene name: exocyst complex component EXO70B1-like
Exons: 3
Source: RefSeq, a predicted model, not a curated record